RNAcentral lists this ribosomal RNA (117 nucleotides) under Desulfobacterales bacterium. The record is from RNAcentral. Lineage: Bacteria; Pseudomonadati; Thermodesulfobacteriota; Desulfobacteria; Desulfobacterales.
UUCGGCGGUUAUAGCGAAGAGGAAACACCCGUUUCCAUCCCGAACACGGAAGUUAAGCUCUUCAGCGCCGAUGGUACUGCAUGGGAGACUGUGCGGGAGAGUAGGACACCGCCGAUU